CUUCGGCAUGAUAACUAGGCGACUGUCUCAAUCUGCUCCACGACUUAGCCCUUUAAGUUGCCGAUAAAUUAUACACCACGCGGGGAUCUUACACGUUAUCGGAGUUGCCAAUGAUGACCCAAUGUUUAAAUCGUCGCGACAUUU
This 144-nucleotide small nucleolar RNA is filed under the name Podospora anserina S mat+. The record is from RNAcentral. Lineage: Eukaryota; Fungi; Ascomycota; Sordariomycetes; Sordariales; Podosporaceae.